This 465-nucleotide long non-coding RNA is filed under the name Brassica rapa (field mustard). Its description in RNAcentral is "long non-coding RNA (BRAP_LNC001320)". The record is from RNAcentral. Lineage: Eukaryota; Viridiplantae; Streptophyta; Magnoliopsida; Brassicales; Brassicaceae.
GUGAAUAGACUUAUUUGUAAGUCUACAACGAUUCUUUUUUUUCUUUAUUGUUAUAAUACUUGUCGAGUAUGAUUUAUUAAAAUGUUUUUUUUUUGUUUUCUUAGUAGUUAUAAUAUAUGAUUUCAGAUUUGUAUUCGUAAAGAGCUAAAUUUAUUACAAAAAUAAUAUUUGUUUGUAAACACUAAUUUAAGUAGACUAAAAAAGAUGUCUACAAUUCAGUAGACUUUAUUGUAGAAUUACUAUACCCUAAACCACAAAUCUCAUACCCUAAAUUUAGCUUUAUAAUCAAAAUAUUUAAUAUAUAAGCUACUCAACAUUAAUAUUAAAAUUUAAUUCAAUAAACCAAAUAAAAUCUCAAUCUAAAAUUUAACCCUAACAAUCUAACCCUUAAUAACAUAAUAUCUUAGAACCUUUUGUUGCUAAACCAUAAACAUUGUCUAACACAAAGUUAUCAAAUCAAUAUUU